AGGCGGCCGGUUAAGUCAGGUGUGAAAGCCCGGGGCUCAACCUCGGAAGUGCACUUGAAACUGCAGCGCUAGAAUCUUGGAGAGGCGAGUGGAAUUCCGAGUGUAGAGGUGAAAUUCGUAGAUAUUCGGAAGAACACCAGUGGCGAAGGCGACUCGCUGGACAAGUAUUGACGCUGAGGUGCGAAAGCGUGGGGAGCAAACA
This 202-nucleotide ribosomal RNA is filed under the name uncultured bacterium. RNAcentral's name for it is "partial 16S ribosomal RNA". It matches the Rfam family "Bacterial small subunit ribosomal RNA", at positions 573 to 774 of the family's 1533-position model. The record is from RNAcentral.